This is a long non-coding RNA of Mobula hypostoma (lesser devil ray), 921 nucleotides long. RefSeq lists it as uncharacterized. The transcript has 3 exons. NCBI's taxonomy places the organism in Eukaryota, Metazoa, Chordata, Chondrichthyes, Myliobatiformes, Myliobatidae. The record is from RefSeq and is a predicted model, not a curated record.
UUCUCUAUAAAACUAGAUUACAAAACUCCACUUUAAUUGUUCCUAGCCUUCGAAGUCUGAAUUUUCAGUCAGAGUGGUCAUUGUGCUAUGUUGUAAUUCAAAGUGGGAAAGAGUAACUAAACAAAAAUCUCUAGACAUUUAUUUGGACUUGCUCUCCUCUGAAUAUAUUAUAAUAAUUUAGGUUUUGCAGUCUUUGAAAAAAAACCUUCAUGACACCUCUUGAAAAAGCAUGAUCUCUGUUGAAUAUUAUUUCAGUUUCCUGCUCUUGAGACCCGACAGCAGUGAGAGAACAGUACAAGCGGCACAGGAGCAUAACAGCUAACGUAAUGCUAAUACAGCGCCAGCAAUCACCACUGCCUGUAGGAGUUCGGUAUGUUCUCCCCAUAACUGCAUGAGCUUCGUCCAGGUGCUCCAGUUUCCUCCCACACUCUAAAGAUGGACAGGCUGACAAAAACAGAAUAUUUGGAAUUCACUAUUCAAAAGCUAAUGCACAUUCAGAUGUUAUGGAAGUCAAGACAAUAUGAGGAAUUGAACAAUAAUUUUGUUCGUUACUUUUGGUCAUCUGCUCAAAUAUUUUUGGUGUUUGAUAAUGAAACUCAGUAACGUGCUCUCUAUACAUGCCACUGGGAGACACAGACUGCAGAUACUGGAAUCUGGAGCAAAAGACAAUACUGGAUGAAUUCAGCAGGGUCAGGCAGCAUCUCUGGAAGGAAAUGGACAAUCAGCAUUUCAGGUCGAGACUCUAUUGACACCCAUCAAACCUCCUCCCAAACUUAAUCAUUAUCAGGAGAACAACAACAACUUCUUCAGAUUAACCUUAAUGAUUCUAGAAGAUCUUCAGUGUGCUCUCUCCUUGAAGGAGGUUGUGGACAACAGAUACCAUGCAGGAAGUAUAGAAGCAAUUGCCAGGUAUAUAUCUGA